UACGAGGGGUGCAAGCGUUGCUCGGAAUUAUUGGGCGUAAAGGGUAGGUAGGUGGUCUCAUUUGUCUGGGGUGAAAGCCUUGAGCUUAACUCAAGAAGUGCCCCGGAAACGGUGAGACUGGAGUCCUGGAGAGGGUCGUGGAAUUCCCGGUGUAGCGGUGAAAUGCGCAGAUAUCGGGAGGAACACCGGUGGCGAAGGCGGUUCUCUGGGCCUGUACUGACGCUGAGGAGCGAAAGCGUGGGGAGCGGACAGG
RNAcentral lists this ribosomal RNA (253 nucleotides) under uncultured bacterium. RNAcentral's name for it is "partial 16S ribosomal RNA". It matches the Rfam family "Bacterial small subunit ribosomal RNA", at positions 524 to 776 of the family's 1533-position model. The record is from RNAcentral.